GAGUUUGAUCGUGGCUCAGGAUGAACGCUAGCUACAGGCUUAACACAUGCAAGUCGAGGGGCAGCAUGAAUAUUGGCUUGCCAAUAUUUGAUGGCGACCGGCGCACGGGUGAGUAACACGUAUCCAACCUUCCGGUUACUCGGGGAUAGGCUUUCGAAAGAAAGAUUAAUACCCGAUGUUGUGUAUCUUUCUCCUGAAAGAUACGCCAAAGGAUUCCGGUAACCGAUGGGGAUGCGUUCCAUUAGGCAGUUGGCGGGUAACGCCCACCAAACCUUCGAUGGAUAGGGGGUUCUGAGAGGAACGGUCCCCCCAAUUGGAACUGAGACACGGUCCAAACUCCUACGGGAGCAGCAGUGA
RNAcentral lists this ribosomal RNA (357 nucleotides) under uncultured bacterium. RNAcentral's name for it is "bacterial SSU rRNA". It matches the Rfam family "Bacterial small subunit ribosomal RNA", at positions 9 to 357 of the family's 1533-position model. The record is from RNAcentral.